AUUGAACGCUGGCGGCAUGCUUUACACAUGCAAGUCGAACGGUAACAGGCCGCAAGGUGCUGACGAGUGGCGAACGGGUGCGUAAUGCAUCGGAACGUGCCCAGUCGUGGGGGAUAACUACUCGAAAGAGUAGCUAAUACCGCAUACGACCUAUGGAUGAAAGCGGGGGACCGUAAGGCCUCGCGCGAUUGGAGCGGCUGAUGUCAGAUUAGGUAGUUGGUGGGGUAAAGGCUCACCAAGCCAACGAUCUGUAGCUGGUCUGAGAGGACAACCAGCCACACUGGGACUGAGACACGGCCCAGACUCCUACGGGAGGCAGCAGUGGGGAAUUUUGGACAAUGGGCGCAUGCCUGAUCCAGCAAUGCCGCGUGCAGGAAGAAGGCCUUCGGGUUGUAAACUGCUUUUGUACGGAACGAAACGGCUCUGGUUAAUACCCGGGGCUAAUGACGGUACCGUAAGAAUAAGCACCGGCUAACUACGUG
RNAcentral lists this ribosomal RNA (482 nucleotides) under uncultured bacterium. Its description in RNAcentral is "partial 16S ribosomal RNA". It matches the Rfam family "Bacterial small subunit ribosomal RNA", at positions 30 to 507 of the family's 1533-position model. The record is from RNAcentral.